GGACGCGCUCCGGCGCACCUCCAGACAACCCUUUGUGAACUUAUACCUAUACUGUUGCCUCGGCGUCAGGCUGGCUCCCCUCGGGGGGUCCCUCACCAUCUCGGUGAGGAGCAGGCCCGCCGGCGGCCAAGUUAACUCUUGUUUUUACACUGAAACUCUGAGAAUAAAACAAAAAUGAAUCAAAACUUUCAACAACGGAUCUCUUGGUUCUGGCAUCGAUGAAGAACGCAGCGAAAUGCGAUAAGUAAUGUGAAUUGCAGAAUUCAGUGAAUCAUCGAAUCUUUGAACGCACAUUGCGCCCUCUGGUAUUCCGGAGGGCAUGCCUGUUCGAGCGUCAUUUCAACCCUCAAGCCUGGCUUGGUGAUGGGACACUGCCUUUGAGAAAAGGCAGGUCCUGAAAUUCAGUGGCGAGCUCGCCAGGACCCCGAGCGCAGUAGUUAAACCCUCGCUUUGGAAGGUCUUGGUGCGGCCCUGCCGUUAAACCCCCAACUUCUGAAAAUUUGACCUCGGAUCAGGAGGAAACCC
Molecule: ribosomal RNA, 525 nt
Filed under: Phomopsis sp. Po49
Lineage: Eukaryota; Fungi; Ascomycota; Sordariomycetes; Diaporthales; Diaporthaceae
Also listed under: 1 other name
Description: eukaryotic LSU rRNA
Rfam family: 5.8S ribosomal RNA (bases 184-337)
Source: RNAcentral